GACGAACGCUGGCGGCGCGCUUAACACAUGCAAGUCGAACGGAAAGGCCUGCUUUCCCUUGUGGAUUGCGAGUACUCGAGUGGCGAACGGGUGAGUAACACGUGAGUGAUCUGCCCCCAACUUGGGUAUAAGCCUGGGAAACUGGGUCUAAUUCCCGAUAGGACUGCAGGGUGGUGCCUGUGGUGGAAAACGAUUUUCUAGUGGUUGGGGAUGAGCUCGCGGCCUAUCAGCUUGUUGGUGGGGUAAUGGCCUACCAAGGCGGCGACGGGUAGCCGGCCUGAGAGGGUGGACGGCCACAUUGGGACUGAGAUACGGCCCAGACUCCUACGGGAGGCAGCAGUGGGGAAUAUUGCACAAUGGGCGGAAGCCUGAUGCAGCGACGCCGCGUGGGGGAUGACGGCCUUCGGGUUGUAAACUCCUUUCGACCGCGAGGAAGCCACCUGGUUGGAAGGGUGGUGACGGUAGUGGUAGAGGAAGCACCGGCUAACUACGUG
This 494-nucleotide ribosomal RNA is filed under the name uncultured bacterium. Its description in RNAcentral is "partial 16S ribosomal RNA". It matches the Rfam family "Bacterial small subunit ribosomal RNA", at positions 28 to 507 of the family's 1533-position model. The record is from RNAcentral.